AUCAGGGUGGCUGAUUAAGCAAUAAACUGUAAAUUUAUAUAUGAAAUUAUAUUUCUCCUGAUA
Molecule: transfer RNA, 63 nt
Filed under: Hypsauchenia hardwickii
Lineage: Eukaryota; Metazoa; Arthropoda; Insecta; Hemiptera; Membracidae
Description: tRNA-Tyr
Source: RNAcentral